RNAcentral lists this ribosomal RNA (484 nucleotides) under uncultured bacterium. RNAcentral describes it as "partial 16S ribosomal RNA". It matches the Rfam family "Bacterial small subunit ribosomal RNA", at positions 30 to 507 of the family's 1533-position model. The record is from RNAcentral.
AUUGAACGCUGGCGGCAGGCCUAACACAUGCAAGUCGAGCGGAUGAAGGGGGCUUGCUCCUGGAUUCAGCGGCGGACGGGUGAGUAAUGCCUAGGAAUCUGCCUGGUAGUGGGGGAUAACGUCCGGAAACGGGCGCUAAUACCGCAUACGUCCUGAGGGAGAAAGUGGGGGAUCUUCGGACCUCACGCUAUCAGAUGAGCCUAGGUCGGAUUAGCUAGUUGGUGGGGUAAAGGCCUACCAAGGCGACGAUCCGUAACUGGUCUGAGAGGAUGAUCAGUCACACUGGAACUGAGACACGGUCCAGACUCCUACGGGAGGCAGCAGUGGGGAAUAUUGGACAAUGGGCGAAAGCCUGAUCCAGCCAUGCCGCGUGUGUGAAGAAGGUCUUCGGAUUGUAAAGCACUCUAAGUUGGGAGGAAGGGCAGUAAGUUAAUACCUUGCUGUUUUGACGUUACCAACAGAAUAAGCACCGGCUAACUUCGUG